Molecule: ribosomal RNA, 1479 nt
Filed under: metagenome
Description: bacterial SSU rRNA
Rfam family: Bacterial small subunit ribosomal RNA
Source: RNAcentral
AGAGUUUGAUCCUGGCUCAGGAUGAACGCUAGCGAGAGGCUUAACACAUGCAAGUCGAGGGGCAGCGGGGUCUUCGGACCGCCGGCGACCGGCGCACGGGUGCGUAACGCGUAUGCAACCUUCCCAUAACAGGAGGAUAGCCCGGGGAAACCCGGAUUAAUACUCCAUGGUAUCAUUAAUUCGCAUGUUUUAAUGAUUAAAGAUUUAUCGGUAAUGGAUGGGCAUGCGUAUGAUUAGCUAGUUGGCGGGGUAACGGCCCACCAAGGCAACGAUCAUUAGGGGUUCUGAGAGGAAGGUCCCCCACACUGGUACUGAGACACGGACCAGACUCCUACGGGAGGCAGCAGUGAGGAAUAUUGGUCAAUGGGCGCAAGCCUGAACCAGCCAUCUCGCGUGCAGGAAGACUGCCCUAUGGGUUGUAACCUGCUUUUAUACGGGAAUAAAUACACUACGUGUAGUGGGCUGUAUGUACCGUAUGAAUAAGCACCGGCUAACUCCGUGCCAGCAGCCGCGGUAAUACGGAGGGUGCAAGCGUUAUCCGGAUUUAUUGGGUUUAAAGGGUGCGUAGGUGGAAUUAUAAGUCAGUGGUGAAAUUUUGCGGCUCAACCGUAAAACCGCCAUUGAAACUGUAGUUCUUGAGAGGAUUUGAGGUAGGCGGAAUGAGUAAUGUAGCGGUGAAAUGCAUAGAUAUUACUCAGAACACCGAUUGCGUAGGCAGCUUACCAAGCUCCAUCUGACACUGAGGCACGAAAGCGUGGGGAGCGAACAGGAUUAGAUACCCUGGUAGUCCACGCCGUAAACGAUGCUCACUCGCUGCUGGCAAGAAUGAUUGUCAGUGGCCAAGCGAAAGUAAUAAGUGAGCCACCUGGGGAGUACGUCGGCAACGAUGAAACUCAAAGGAAUUGACGGGGGCCCGCACAAGCGGAGGAACAUGUGGUUUAAUUCGAUGAUACGCGAGGAACCUUACCUGGGCUUAAAUGUAGAUUGCAUAGAGCAGAGAUGUUCUUUUCUUCGGACUAUUUACAAGGUGCUGCAUGGUUGUCGUCAGCUCGUGCCGUGAGGUGUCGGGUUAAGUCCCAUAACGAGCGCAACCCCUAUCGUUAGUUACCAUCAGGUCAUGCUGGGGACUCUAGCGAGACUGCCGGUGUAAACCGCGAGGAAGGUGGGGAUGACGUCAAACCAGCACGGCCCUUACGCCCAGGGCUACACACGUGUUACAAUGGCCUGUACAGAGGGCAGCUACCUGGCAACAGGAUGCGAAUCUCGAAAGCAGGUCUCAGUUCGGAUCGAAGUCUGCAACCCGACUUCGUGAAGUUGGAUUCGCUAGUAAUCGCGCAUCAGCCAUGGCGCGGUGAAUACGUUCCCGGGCCUUGUACACACCGCCCGUCAAGCCAUGGAAGUUGGGGGUACUUAAAGUCCGUAACCGUAAGGAGCGGCCUAGGGUAAAACCGAUAACUGGGGCUAAGUCGUAACAAGGUA